GAUGAACGCUGGCGGCGUGCCUAAUACAUGCAAGUCGAGCGAACAGACGAGGAGCUUGCUCCUCUGACGUUAGCGGCGGACGGGUGAGUAACACGUGGAUAACCUACCUAUAAGACUGGGAUAACUUCGGGAAACCGGAGCUAAUACCGGAUAAUAUAUUGAACCGCAUGGUUCAAUAGUGAAAGACGGUUUUGCUGUCACUUAUAGAUGGAUCCGCGCCGCAUUAGCUAGUUGGUAAGGUAACGGCUUACCAAGGCGACGAUGCGUAGCCGACCUGAGAGGGUGAGCGGCCACACUGGAACUGAGACACGGUCCAGACUCCUACGGGAGGCAGCAGUAGGGAAUCUUCCGCAAUGGGCGAAAGCCUGACGGAGCAACGCCGCGUGAGUGAUGAAGGUCUUCGGAUCGGAAAACUCUGUUAUUAGGGAAGAACAAAUGUGUAAGUAACUAUGCACGUCUUGACGGUACCUAAUCAGAAAGCCACGGCUAACUACGUG
RNAcentral lists this ribosomal RNA (497 nucleotides) under uncultured bacterium. RNAcentral describes it as "partial 16S ribosomal RNA". It matches the Rfam family "Bacterial small subunit ribosomal RNA", at positions 28 to 507 of the family's 1533-position model. The record is from RNAcentral.